Lathyrus oleraceus (garden pea) is the source of this 583-nucleotide long non-coding RNA. RefSeq lists it as uncharacterized. Lineage: Eukaryota; Viridiplantae; Streptophyta; Magnoliopsida; Fabales; Fabaceae. The transcript has 2 exons. The record is from RefSeq and is a predicted model, not a curated record.
AAUUUCAUCCCACGCCUCACAAAAUUAUCAAAACCAAGCUAACGGUCGAAGAACCCUAGGGUAUAAAAGAUGAAAUUAAAUGUAAUUGGAGGGGAAUCCAAGCCAACAACCAGAGCGCUUUGACUCCCCUCACUCUAAUCUACAUCACGGUGGCAGUUUUAAUGCCUAUGAAAGGAUAAAGGGAAUGGAGCUUACAUGCCGGAGCAACUAUGGUGGUUCUUUAAGAUGUUGAUGCAAAGAAGAUCCAAAGGCAUUCUACUUCUCCAGUUUGACAUAGAAUGGCUUGUUGUGAGGCAAAGCUCAUGAAGGUCUUGGCAUUAAACAAGGCAUGGAGCAAGUCAUAGUUUAGUGAAGAAUUUUGAAGACUUGGUUGCACAAAGAAGGAAUGGCUUGUAAAUGAAGAAAAAUUGGGGACUAGGUCUUAGGAUUAGAUAGUUGACUUUGGUCAACUGUUUGACCAAAAAGUCAAUAAUUGACCAAAAGUCAACCUUAGGUCAAAACAUGUAAAAAUGUGUAAUAUUGUAAUUUGGAUUUUUGUAAUGUGAUUUGAUAUUUUGUAAUGAAAAUUGGCCCUUGAAUAGUA